UACGUAGGUGCAAGCGUUGUCCGGAAUUAUUGGGCGUAAAGAGCUCGUAGGCGGUUUGUCGCGUCGACUGUGAAAACCCGAGGCUUAACCUCGGGCCUGCAGUCGAUACGGGCAGACUAGAGGUAUGCAGGGGAGAACGGAAUUCCUGGUGUAGCGGUGAAAUGCGCAGAUAUCAGGAGGAACACCGGUGGCGAAGGCGGUUCUCUGGGCAUUACCUGACGCUGAGGAGCGAAAGUGUGGGGAGCGAACAGG
RNAcentral lists this ribosomal RNA (252 nucleotides) under uncultured bacterium. RNAcentral describes it as "partial 16S ribosomal RNA". It matches the Rfam family "Bacterial small subunit ribosomal RNA", at positions 524 to 776 of the family's 1533-position model. The record is from RNAcentral.